This 486-nucleotide ribosomal RNA is filed under the name Megalabops quadriguttata. RNAcentral describes it as "partial 16S ribosomal RNA". The stretch from base 250 to 408 matches the Rfam family "Bacterial large subunit ribosomal RNA", at positions 2473 to 2632 of the family's 2925-position model. The record is from RNAcentral. Lineage: Eukaryota; Metazoa; Arthropoda; Insecta; Diptera; Diopsidae.
GUUUCAUUUAAAUUUAUUAUAGAAUUUUAUUUUUUAGUUAAAAAGCUAAAAUGAUUUCAAAAGACGAGAAGACCCUAUAAAUCAAGAUUAUUUAAUAAUUUUUAAUUUGUUUGGAUUAUUUUUAUUUUUAAUUAUUAAAUAAUUUUAUUGGGGUGAUGUUAAAAUUUAAUAAACUUUUAAUUUAUAUAUUUCAUUUAUUUAUGAAUUUAUGAUCCAUUUAUAGUGAUUAAAAAAUUAAGUUACUUUAGGGAUAACAGCGUAAUUUUUUUGGAGAGUUCUUAUCGAUAAAAAAGUUUGCGACCUCGAUGUUGGAUUAAGAUUCAUAUUUAAAUGCAGAAGUUUAAAUAUAAAGUCUGUUCGACUUUUUAUUCUUACAUGAUCUGAGUUCAAACCGGUGUAAGCCAGGUUGGUUUCUAUCUUUGAAUUAUAAAAAUAUUUUAGUACGAAAGGAAUAAAUAUUUAUUUUAUAAAAAUUUAUUUAUGAAU